ACCGGGUGCAGUGGCACGUACCUGUAGUCCCCAGCUACUCGGGAGGCUGAGGUGGGAGGAUCACUUGAGCCCAGGAGUUCUGGGCUGUAGUGUGCUAUGCUGAUCGGGUGUCCGCACUAAGUUUGGCAUCAAUAUGGUGACCUACUGGGAGCCGGGAACCACCUGGUUGCCUAAGGAGGGGUGAACCAGCCCAGGUUGGAAAUGGAGCAGGUCAAAACUCCUGUGCUGAUCAAUAGUAGGAUCGUGCUUGUGAAUAGCCACUGCACUCCAGCCUAGGCAACAUACUCU
RNAcentral lists this signal recognition particle RNA (288 nucleotides) under Saimiri boliviensis boliviensis (Bolivian squirrel monkey). Its description in RNAcentral is "Metazoan signal recognition particle RNA (ENSSBOG00000008743.1)". It matches the Rfam family "Metazoan signal recognition particle RNA". From Rfam's summary of the family: The signal recognition particle (SRP) is a universally conserved ribonucleoprotein. It is involved in the co-translational targeting of proteins to membranes. The eukaryotic SRP consists of a 300-nucleotide 7S RNA and six proteins: SRPs 72, 68, 54, 19, 14, and 9. The record is from RNAcentral. Lineage: Eukaryota; Metazoa; Chordata; Mammalia; Primates; Cebidae.